This 465-nucleotide ribosomal RNA is filed under the name uncultured bacterium. RNAcentral describes it as "partial 16S ribosomal RNA". It matches the Rfam family "Bacterial small subunit ribosomal RNA", at positions 28 to 507 of the family's 1533-position model. The record is from RNAcentral.
GACGAACGCUGGCGGCGUGCUUAACACAUGCAAGUCGAACGGAAAGGCCCUGCUUGCAGGGUACUCGAGUGGCGAACGGGUGAGUAACACGUGGGUGAUCUGCCCUGCACUUCGGGAUAAGCCUGGGAAACUGGGUCUAAUACCGGAUAGGAGCCAUUUUUAGUGUGAUGGUUGGAAAGUUUUUUCGGUGUAGGAUGAGCUCGCGGCCUAUCAGCUUGUUGGUGGGGUAAUGGCCUACCAAGGCGGCGACGGGUAGCCGGCCUGAGGGGGUGGACGGCCACAUUGGGACUGAGAGACGGCCCAGACUCCGACGGGAGGCAGCAGGGGGGAAUAUUGCACAAUGGGCGCAAGCCUGAUGCAGCGACGCCGCGUGGGGGAUGACGGCCUUCGGGUUGAAAACUCCUUUCGCUAGGGACGAAGCUUUUUGUGACGGUACCUAGAUAAGAAGCACCGGCUAACUACGUG